Molecule: transfer RNA, 65 nt
Filed under: Dipodomys ordii (Ord's kangaroo rat)
Lineage: Eukaryota; Metazoa; Chordata; Mammalia; Rodentia; Heteromyidae
Rfam family: tRNA
About the family: Transfer RNA (tRNA) molecules are approximately 80 nucleotides in length.
Source: Rfam by way of RNAcentral
GGUGGCUCAGUGUUAGAGUGCUUGCUUUCCAUGCAUGAGGCCCUGGGUUCCAUUCCUCAGCACCA